UGAGCAAUCUGCCCUUCACUUCGGGAUAACUCCGGGAAACCGGUGCUAAUACCGAAUACGACCACCGAUGGCAUCGUCUGGUGGUGGAAAGUUCCGGCGGUGAAAGAUGAGCUCGCGGCCUAUCAGCUUGUUGGUGGGGUAAUGGCCCACCAAGGCAACGACGGGUAGCCGGCCUGAGAGGGUGACCGGCCACACUGGGACUGAGACACGGCCCAGACUCCUACGGGAG
RNAcentral lists this ribosomal RNA (229 nucleotides) under uncultured bacterium. RNAcentral's name for it is "partial 16S ribosomal RNA". It matches the Rfam family "Bacterial small subunit ribosomal RNA", at positions 118 to 347 of the family's 1533-position model. The record is from RNAcentral.